GAGCUUUUCAGGGCAAGACCAGUUCUUAUUUCUCUUACAAAAUAUGUAGAAAGUGGCACGAAGUGCAACCUCCAUACAUUUUGUUAUGAUACGAUCGUCUUGCAAAUGUAACAACCUACAUAGCCUACGAAAUUGGCCUAUGCUCUUCGUGACGAAGCCUAGAGUAGUGACUUCCAAAGUUAUAACUUUAAAUCUAUCACACGGUACGAGUAACUGUGAUCGCAAUACCCGAUAUUUUUC
This is a non-coding RNA of Paramuricea clavata, 240 nucleotides long. The record is from the annotation of a GenBank genome assembly. NCBI's taxonomy places the organism in Eukaryota, Metazoa, Cnidaria, Anthozoa, Malacalcyonacea, Plexauridae.